GCAUGUGAGGACGAUCUGGCUGCAACAAUUAUCACCCCAUUGACUGUGCACCCCUUCAGAAGGGAGCACAGGGAGCGGUGAGGGGCUGACUCGGCUGCUCUGGCUACUUAAGUGAAUCUCCCUUCCUCCCUCACUGCUCCAUUAGCGUCCCUCCAGACGCUGCAUGCUCGGUCAAAGGGGAGGACCAUUUCCAAAGAGGAGGACUUGCCUUUGAUCGAGGGUCAACAAGAGGUUGCCCUCCCCUGCUAGAACCUCCAAAGAAGCUUUCAAGGAAAUACAGGACCACAAGAUAAGCCUCCUCUCCGUUUUUU
RNAcentral lists this small nuclear RNA (311 nucleotides) under Cebus imitator (Panamanian white-faced capuchin). Its description in RNAcentral is "7SK RNA (ENSCCAG00000009526.1)". It matches the Rfam family "7SK RNA". From Rfam's summary of the family: 7SK was discovered as an abundant small nuclear RNA in the mid-70s but a possible function has only recently been suggested. Two independent studies have found that 7SK RNA binds the CDK9/cyclin T complex (known as elongation factor P-TEFb). The record is from RNAcentral. Lineage: Eukaryota; Metazoa; Chordata; Mammalia; Primates; Cebidae.